This is a long non-coding RNA of Homo sapiens (human), 628 nucleotides long. Ensembl annotates it as SYT9 antisense RNA 1. Its record names the gene SYT9-AS1. Lineage: Eukaryota; Metazoa; Chordata; Mammalia; Primates; Hominidae. The record is from Ensembl.
AAAGUGCAGAGACUAUCCACCUCAGCUAUAGCACAGGGCUCAGCACUGUAUUUCCAGUUAUGGAAUACAGUUAUUUCAUAUAUGUUAUAUUAUUCUUAAUUCUGUCCCUAGUUCCUGCUACUGAGGAAGUCCAUACUCAGCAGGACAGUCUCCUGGUCUGCCAUGAAUUCAAACACAAUCUGUAAAGACAGUGAAGGAAGCUACAUCUGUGCAUGGGGGCUUUAGAGAAUUAUUGGCUUGAAGCAAUAAGAGGAACAUCUGGGCUGAGUAGUCCUCGAAGACUCUCAUGUGAUUCAAAAGUCCUUUUCUUCCUUAUUAUUUCCUAUCUUGCUCUCAAGCAUCUCCUCUGGCAGCAGCAACUGGAACUAAAAGUGAUUUCUCUAUAACAGCGAGCAAGUUUCUCAUGGCCUUUGCUAUUAACUCUUUCAUGCCUGCUGACCUGCAAAAGAAUCAGGAGGGCUGGUGCUGGAGCAGAUGGCGCACUGAUCCCUGGAUCCUCAUUCCUGAUAUAAGACUAGUUCUAGAUAAUUCAAUACAAGAAAGAAGAUUUGCUUGGGAAGGUAGAUGGGGCAAAGCAUUACCUUGUGUAAAACUGCUGCUAAAAUAUAUUCCUAGUGAGAAAGGUCAA